UAAUACGGAGGGUGCGAGCGUUGUUCGGAAUUACUGGGCGUAAAGGGCGUGUAGGCGGACUUAUAAGUCUCCGGUGAAAUUUUCACCGCUCAACGGGAAAAAGCCCGGGGAUACUGUAAGUCUUGAGGAUGGUAGAGGAGAGUGGAAUUCCUGGUGUAACGGUGGAAUGUUUAGAUAUCAGGAAGAACACCGGUGGCGAAGGCGACUCUCUGGGCCAUACCUGACGCUGAGGCGCGAAAGCGUGGGGAGCGAACAGGAUUAGAUACCCUGGUAGUCCACGCCGUAAACGGUGAGUACUGGGUGUGGGAGGAAUCGACCCCCUUCCGUGCCGACGCAAACGCAUUAAGUACUCCGCCUGGGAAGUACGGCCGCAAGGCUG
Molecule: ribosomal RNA, 379 nt
Filed under: uncultured delta proteobacterium
Lineage: Bacteria; Deltaproteobacteria
Description: bacterial SSU rRNA
Rfam family: Bacterial small subunit ribosomal RNA
Source: RNAcentral